Molecule: unclassified non-coding RNA, 336 nt
Filed under: soil metagenome
Description: partial contains 5.8S ribosomal RNA, internal transcribed spacer 2, and large subunit ribosomal RNA
Rfam family: 5.8S ribosomal RNA (bases 1-120)
Source: RNAcentral
GAUGAAGAACGCAGCGAAAUGCGAUAAGUAGUGUGAAUUGCAGAAUUUAGUGAAUCAUCGAAUCUUUGAACGCACAUUGCGCCCCUUGGUAUUCCAUGGGGCAUGCCUGUUCGAGCGUCAUUUGUACCUUCAAGCUUUGCUUGGUGUUGGGUGUUUGUCUCGCCUUUGCGUGUAGACUCGCCUUAAAAUAAUUGGCAGCCGGCGUAUUGAUUUCGGAGCGCAGUACAUCUCGCGCUUUGCACUCAUAACGACAGCGUCCAAAAGUACAUUUUACACUCUUGACCUCGGAUCAGGUAGGGAUACCCGCUGAACUUAAGCAUAUCAAUAAGCGGAGGA